UACGUAGGGCGCAAGCGUUAAUCGGAAUUACUGGGCGUAAAGCGUGCGCAGGCGGUUUUGUAAGUCUGUCGUGAAAGCCCCGGGCUCAACCUGGGAAUUGCAUUGGAGACUGCAAGGCUAGAAUCUGGCAGAGGGGGGUAGAAUUCCACGUGUAGCAGUGAAAUGCGUAGAGAUGUGGAGGAACACCGAUGGCGAAGGCAGCCCCCUGGGUCAAGAUUGACGCUCAUGCACGAAAGCGUGGGGAGCAAACAGG
RNAcentral lists this ribosomal RNA (253 nucleotides) under uncultured bacterium. RNAcentral describes it as "partial 16S ribosomal RNA". It matches the Rfam family "Bacterial small subunit ribosomal RNA", at positions 524 to 776 of the family's 1533-position model. The record is from RNAcentral.